UACGUAGGGUGCAAGCGUUGUCCGGAAUUAUUGGGCGUAAAGAGAACGUAGGCGGUUUGUUAAGUUUGGGCUUAAAGACUGGGGCUCAACCCCAGGAGUGGCUCGAAAACUGACAGACUAGAGGAUGGCAGAGGAAAGUGGAAUUCCCAGUGUAGCGGUGAAAUGCGUAGAUAUUGGGAGGAACACCAGUGGCGAAAGCGACUUUCUGGGCCAUUCCUGACGCUGAGGUUCGAAAGCUCGGGGAGCAAACAGG
RNAcentral lists this ribosomal RNA (253 nucleotides) under uncultured bacterium. Its description in RNAcentral is "partial 16S ribosomal RNA". It matches the Rfam family "Bacterial small subunit ribosomal RNA", at positions 524 to 776 of the family's 1533-position model. The record is from RNAcentral.